RNAcentral lists this long non-coding RNA (1906 nucleotides) under Equus asinus (donkey). RNAcentral's name for it is "lncRNA (ENSEASG00005023963.1)". The record is from RNAcentral. Lineage: Eukaryota; Metazoa; Chordata; Mammalia; Perissodactyla; Equidae.
AGACCAAAUAAUGACCUGAUCAAUAACCAGAACAUGUGGCUUCUGCUCUUGAUCUUCAGAGGACGAAAAUGUUCCUUUAGAUCCAAAAAGCGGCAAUUCUAUAGGGGAAGUGAAAGAGGAAGGUGAUGUUUAUGGUUGUGACCUCUGGGAUAGACUCUAUAGGGAGCCAAAUGUUUGACAACUGUGACUACUCAGAUGAAGGAAGCCAAGGUCUACAAUUUGACUGAGCAACAAUCACCAUGAGCCAACCUGAAAAUACAAGGAUGUUGGAAGGUGGAAGAAUAAAUUUGGACUGGAAAUUAUACUACCUCAUUGGUGUCAUUCUUACAGAGCAUCUCUAACUCGGAUCCGUCUUAGAAACAGACUUGGCUUCAGAAGCCUGCUGCCCUGAUGUGCUGACUACAACAUAUGAGAACAAAGCCUGAGAAUUCGGGUCAUCAGCAAUCCCUACUUCGUGGCCCUCCGUCCCUUCCCCCCCUUUCCUCUCUCUCUUCCUUCCUCAUGCAGUUUGCCAUGAAUUUGUAACCGAAAGUUCGGUCUCUGAACCCGAUGCCAAUCCAAAUAAUGAGAACAGAGUCUUGAGUGGAAGAGGAAAGGUUUUUACUAUGCCAGGCACAGGGAGCAAAGCAAGGGCUCAUGCCUCAAAAAUUCCUAGCUCCCCAUGAGGAAUGGGUAGGGAUUUUUAUUUGGGGUUUUGGGUAGGGGAGGGGGGAAGAUGUAGCUUGUGCAGCUCGGUGCUUUCCCACCAGCCUGCGUUUGGCCUUGAGAGGCUGCUUGCAGCAAGGCAGGGGGAGGGUGAGACAGGAGGAUGGCAGGUGGGCGUCCUUUGCCCGUUGUCUCAUCUUCUUGUUUGAGGCAGGUUCGAGCGCUGGGAGUCGAGGAGUUGAGGUCUGGGAAGCCUCCGCUCCUUGAUACUCUUGAGACAGGGGCUUUGCUGGCAAACUCGAAGACACAUGAUUAGCUAAACUUUAGUGUGCCUUCAACUCCAGGCCACCUGGGCUUUUAACAAUUUGUAACUCCCAUUUAGUUGUAAAGCUCAAAGAGUCCAAGUUUAAAGAAACAGGUAUUUACAUAUGAGUGGAGCUAGAGAAGCAGGAAAGGGGGUGGUGGGUUUUAGUUUUAACCCCAUAUACGCUGGGUUCAGUGUGGGGGAACUGAUAUCAGGGCUGAUGUUAAGAGCCUGUAACAAGUUUAACCAUCUAUGAAACUGCCACAACAUAACGCACAAUUUAAGUAUCAACUUCAAUUUUGGCUUUGAAAUUAUUUCUCAAGACUCCUCUCUAAGAAGUCACUUCAACAAAUAUUUCUGUUAGACACUGCCCUCUUACAGGUUCUUAAGUUCUUUCUAGCCAGCCAGAGAGAGUAGUUACAUCUUCACCAAAGGACAAACUGUGAGGGAAAAUGACAGAGCAGGGACUGCUCGUUUUGCAUUCUUCGGUUCAAUCACUUCGGUUCAUUAGGGAAAUAAAACUGUCAGCACAAUAUCUCUGGGUAGGAGGACAUGGGUAGGGUAUCUGACUCAAAGGCUUGCCCAAGGCUAAAGCCACCAUGUAAGCUUUAAUUAACUGGGAGAGUCAGGGGCAGGUGCUGUAUCAAGGAACACUAUUCAUAUUGUUAAUUUUUUAUGUGAAUAUAGGGAAACUCCUGGAUGCAUUGUUUCAUAAUUAAUUUUCUUAUAAGUUAUGAAUGUCCUAGAUAUCCCCUAAAGGAGGGCUGGAGAGAUCAAUUCUUUUAAUGCCUUUUAGUUUUAUAGGUUCUUCCUGUAGCCAUCUGUUGAUGGCUGCAAUUGAGUUUCGCUUUCUUCUGUGGCUUUAUGGAGCCUAGAAUCGCUCUCCUUUUAAGAUAGAAAUGGUUAAUGAUCACUACCAUGGCUUUGAGAAUAGUUUAAUUUCCUUUGAUGCGUGUU